GAUGAACGCUGGCGGCGUGCCUAAUACAUGCAAGUCGAGCGAACAGACGAGGAGCUUGCUCCUCUGACGUUAGCGGCGGACGGGUGAGUAACACGUGGAUAACCUACCUAUAAGACUGGGAUAACUUCGGGAAACCGGAGCUAAUACCGGAUAAUAUAUUGAACCGCAUGGUUCAAUAGUGAAAGACGGUUUUGCUGGCACUUAUAGAUGGAUCCGCGCCGCAUUAGCUAGUUGGUAAGGUAACGGCUUACCAAGGCAACGAUGCGUAGCCGACCUGAGAGGGUGAUCGGCCACACUGGAACUGAGACACGGUCCAGACUCCUACGGGAGGCAGCAGUAGGGAAUCUUCCGCAAUGGGCGAAAGCCUGACGGAGCAACGCCGCGUGAGUGAUGAAGGUCUCCGGAUCGUAAAACUCUGUUAUUAGGGAAGAACAAAUGUGGAAGUAACUAUGCACGUCUUGACGGUACCUGAUCAGAAAGCCACGGCUAACUACGUG
Molecule: ribosomal RNA, 497 nt
Filed under: uncultured bacterium
Lineage: Bacteria
Description: partial 16S ribosomal RNA
Rfam family: Bacterial small subunit ribosomal RNA
Source: RNAcentral